CGUUGCCGCCCGCUCCUAGAAACUAGUGGGAUCCCCCCGGGCUGCAACCCAAUGUGGAAUUCGCCUUUGUUUUUCCGUAGGUGAACCUGCGGAAGGAUCAUUCCCAGUCUUAU
This 113-nucleotide ribosomal RNA is filed under the name Pollicipes elegans. Its description in RNAcentral is "partial 18S ribosomal RNA". Lineage: Eukaryota; Metazoa; Arthropoda; Thecostraca; Pollicipedomorpha; Pollicipedidae. The record is from RNAcentral.